This 492-nucleotide ribosomal RNA is filed under the name uncultured bacterium. RNAcentral describes it as "partial 16S ribosomal RNA". It matches the Rfam family "Bacterial small subunit ribosomal RNA", at positions 29 to 507 of the family's 1533-position model. The record is from RNAcentral.
AGUGAACGCUGGCGGUAGGCCUAACACAUGCAAGUCGAACGGCAGCACAGUAAGAGCUUGCUCUUACGGGUGGCGAGUGGCGGACGGGUGAGGAAUACAUCGGAAUCUACUUUUUCGUGGGGGAUAACGUAGGGAAACUUACGCUAAUACCGCAUACGACCUACGGGUGAAAGCAGGGGAUCUUCGGACCUUGCGCGAUUGAAUGAGCCGAUGUCGGAUUAGCUAGUUGGCGGGGUAAAGGCCCACCAAGGCGACGAUCCGUAGCUGGUCUGAGAGGAUGAUCAGCCACACUGGAACUGAGACACGGUCCAGACUCCUACGGGAGGCAGCAGUGGGGAAUAUUGGACAAUGGGCGCAAGCCUGAUCCAGCAAUACCGCGUGGGUGAAGAAGGCCUUCGGGUUGUAAAGCCCUUUUGUUGGGAAAGAAAAGCAGCAGGUUAAUACCCCGCUGUUCUGACGGUACCCAAAGAAUAAGCAACGGCUAACUUCGUG